UACGUAGGGCGCAAGCGUUAUCCGGAAUUAUUGGGCGUAAAGAGCUCGUAGGCGGUGUGUCGCGUCGGCCGUGAAAACCUGCAGCUUAACUGUGGGCUUGCGGUCGAUACGGGCAUCACUGGAGUUCGGCAGGGGAGACUGGAAUACCUGGUGUAGAGGUGAAAUUCGUAGAUAUCAGGUGGAACACCAGUGGCGAAGGCGGCCUUCUGGACGGUAACUGACGCUGAGACGCGAAAGCGUGGGGAGCAAACAGG
This 254-nucleotide ribosomal RNA is filed under the name uncultured bacterium. RNAcentral's name for it is "partial 16S ribosomal RNA". It matches the Rfam family "Bacterial small subunit ribosomal RNA", at positions 524 to 776 of the family's 1533-position model. The record is from RNAcentral.